This 253-nucleotide ribosomal RNA is filed under the name uncultured bacterium. RNAcentral describes it as "partial 16S ribosomal RNA". It matches the Rfam family "Bacterial small subunit ribosomal RNA", at positions 524 to 776 of the family's 1533-position model. The record is from RNAcentral.
UACGUAGGGGGCAAGCGUUGUCCGGAUUUACUGGGCGUAAAGAGCGUGUAGGCGGCCAAACAGGUCCGUUGUGAAAACUGGAGGCUUAACCUCCAGCUGUCGAUGGAAACCAUCUGGCUAGAGUCCGGAAGAGGAGAGUGGAAUUCCUGGUGUAGCGGUGAAAUGCGCAGAUAUCAGGAAGAACACCCGUGGCGAAGGCGGCUCUCUGGGACGGUACUGACGCUGAGACGCGAAAGCGUGGGGAGCGAACAGG